RNAcentral lists this long non-coding RNA (670 nucleotides) under Ricinus communis (castor bean). Its description in RNAcentral is "long non-coding RNA (RCOM_LNC003385)". Lineage: Eukaryota; Viridiplantae; Streptophyta; Magnoliopsida; Malpighiales; Euphorbiaceae. The record is from RNAcentral.
GGUGGUGGUGAGUCUUAGUUUGCUAAUCUGUCUAUGCACAUGUGUAAUUGCCUGUGUAGAAUGGGAUGAAAUUAGUUAUUGUUGUUGAUGAGGCUUUGUUGUUUACAUUAGAGAAUAAUAUGGUAGUAAUUUGAUGAUCUGUCUUCAUUAACUUUGUUUUGUUCCAUAUAUAAUUGUCUUCCCUUUUGAUCGACAUGACUCGCUAUCUUUAUUGGAAUUUUAGGUACCAAAAGUCAUUCCAUUUUGAUUGUAACUAGUCUCUGUCAUUGUGGGUUCUGAAAUUGUUAGCCAAAUUCUGAGUGCUCGUUCACAUAUAUGCUGAUAAUGACAUUCCAAUCCGAUGAUUGAACUGCACUCAUAACAAAAAUAUUUUACAUGGGGGAGGAUGAUCUUAGACAAAGUUUAUAGUUUAAACAGUAAUGGAAGUAGCAGACACUGCAGUUCUUGUGAUGAUCAUUAUGAUACGAAUGGUGGCGGUGACAAUGUGAUGUUUUUGGCAAAGGGAAGAAGAGGCUCUUGGUCACAUUGAUUUAGCAUUGACAAGACCAUUUUCUGUACAAAGUUAGUAAUGGCCUUUUCUGGUUCCCUGUUUACUGAUAUCUCCCUCCUUAGUCUGUCUGUCUGCCUGUCCCUCUGUGUUAGAAGAGGACUCUUUGCUUUGGUCCUUUUU